This 206-nucleotide long non-coding RNA is filed under the name Mytilus galloprovincialis (Mediterranean mussel). The record is from RNAcentral. Lineage: Eukaryota; Metazoa; Mollusca; Bivalvia; Mytilida; Mytilidae.
CGCAGCUUUAUACGACCGCAGAGGUUGAACCUUGAACGGUUGGGGCAAGUAUGGACACAACAUUCAAGCUGGAUUCAGCUCUAAAUUUGGAUUGUGAUUAAAUAGUUGACACAGCAUAGGUUUCUGACACAGAAUGAAUGUGGUCUAAUGAACUUAAAAUAUUUUUUUUGCGCUUGAGCAAUUCACUAUGCUGUUGAAUAUUAAUC